GAUGAACGCUGGCGGCGUGCUUAACACAUGCAAGUCGAACGAAGCAUUUAGAACAGAUUACUUCGGUUUGAAGUUCUUUAUGACUGAGUGGCGGACGGGUGAGUAACGCGUGGGUAACCUGCCUUGUACUGGGGGAUAGCAGCUGGAAACGGCUGGUAAUACCGCAUAAGCGCACAAUGUUGCAUGACAUGGUGUGAAAAACUCCGGUGGUAUAAGAUGGACCCGCGUCUGAUUAGCUAGUUGGUGAGAUAACAGCCCACCAAGGCGACGAUCAGUAGCCGACCUGAGAGGGUGAUCGGCCACAUUGGGACUGAGACACGGCCCAGACUCCUACGGGAGGCAGCAGUGGGGAAUAUUGCACAAUGGAGGAAACUCUGAUGCAGCGACGCCGCGUGAGUGAAGGAGUAAUUCGUUAUGUAAAGCUCUAUCAGCAGGGAAGAUAGUGACGGUACCUGACUAAGAAGCUCCGGCUAAAUACGUGCCAGCCGCCGCUGUAA
This 497-nucleotide ribosomal RNA is filed under the name uncultured bacterium. RNAcentral's name for it is "partial 16S ribosomal RNA". It matches the Rfam family "Bacterial small subunit ribosomal RNA", at positions 28 to 523 of the family's 1533-position model. The record is from RNAcentral.